CAUCUAUGAACAUUUGAACAUCUUGGCCAUGUUCUGUUAUAAUCUCCACCUGGCAUAGCCAGAAGAGGACUGGCCACCCCUCAUAGCCUGGUUCCUCUCUAGGUUUCUUCCUAGGUUCUGGCCUUUCUAGGGAGUUUUUACUAGCCACCGUGCUUCUACAUCUGCAUUGUUUGCUGUUUGGGGUUUUAGGCUGGGUUUCUGUACAGCACUUUGUGACAUUGGCUGAUGUAAAAAGGGCUUUAUAAAUACAUUUGAUUGAUUGAAUGUUCUUACCACAUUCCCAUGAAGCAUGUCUAGAGCAUAUCUUAAAUUCUGAGAACAUGGUAACCACAUUCUGGGUAAGUUCUAUUUGACAUUAAUGGAAUGGUUUCUUGGAAGCAUUCCUUGCUCAUAACGGGAACAUUCCUAUGAAAGCAUUAGUUAAUGGUCUACUGAGACUCUUAAGGGAACAUGUUUUGUUAGCUGGGCUGUUACAUUAAAUGAAGUGCCCCUCUGUGGUGAGGUCACCAAUGUGAUAGGUGACCAUAGAUGGUUUCUAGAUGCAUGGAAGGGUUAAUUUGACCGAGAACAGUGUGAGCCUCACCCCCUCUAACCUGCUGAAGUAAUGGCGACAAUGGCGUUCAUUAUGGCCCUGUCCUUCACCACUUCUACCUGAGUCCGAGCCAGCAACCUGUACACAGCAUCCAGUCUAAGCUAUCAACUGCCUUUUCUCUCAGGAGGGCAGCAUGAGUCCAUGUGGAGUGUGUAUGGAGAGAUCCCGUCCAAACUUCUCUCAUGCUGCUGGUGUACUGGUCAGAAAAUGGACAAGACUUAAUGCACCGUAAAGGAUGGUGGUGGCGGCUCAGGUGAGAGAUUUGUCUGCUUGGGAAAAAACGGAUUAUUCCCAGAUAUUGGAAUCGGGACAUUAUCAAGGGCCAUCCACUUUGAACAUGUGCCAUUGAGAAGACAAACUGAAACACUAUUUGAAGAAGAAAAUGAAGAAACGCCAGAAGAAUGAGUGCCGGGAAGGAGAGGGGUGGUCAAGUGUGCCUGUAAUUGCUUUAUGCUUGUCCAAAAGUUUUAUUUGGGGUAUCAGGUUGAUUGUGGAGGUCUGUACACUGCAAAAUGUAUAGUAAUUUAUACAAAAAAUGCAUUGAGAUACCGACUUGUCAUUAACACAGGGACAAAUGGGGGCUGUGAUGAGAAAAUGUAAUGAAAUAUAAGAUGAAAAUAAUGUAUGCCAAUGUUAGUAGUGCAUGCUGUAUAUUUAUUUCCCUGUCUGUAAAUGUAUAUUCUGCCAGUGUGUACCAAGUUGAGGGUCUUAAAUUCGAGAGAGACUCAACGCGACGCAGUAGGGACUGUUAUUUUAAAUUUGGGUUGGAUAAUUUAUCAAUAGUUCUAGUCACUCUCUUAGGAACAUGAAGGAAGAAGACAAAGUCAAAAGCUCCAGCUGAAAUGUCAUUGCCAGAAUCCAUAAAUGAAGUUGUGUAAUCAAGCAUAUGUGUAACUGUAUGAAAUUAAGGUCUUAAGUUAAAACAUUCUACUGCAAUGGUUUUACAAGUAAGGGGUAUGGAAUAAGGAUCAGUUACUAGUUGGAGUGUACAACCCAGAAUGAAGGGUUUGAAAGUGUCUGUGGUUUUUAUGCGCUAAUUUUGUUUACUUAUAAUGAUGUAUUUUGAUAGUUUAAGCAAUAACCAAAUGAAUAAAAUGUAAUAAUAAUUAUCACAGUGAUAAGAGGAGGGAGUAUACCAGAAUGUUUUUUUGUCUGAAGUGAUAGUCUUUAAUUGUACAUUUUGUCUCAUAUAAUCAUUGGUUUCUAUAGGUGAUGGGUAGAGAUAUGAGGGGGAGACGGUCCCCUCUUCAGACUUUUUGUCAGAACGCCCAGAAUAAGUUUUAUAAAUUUAGGUAGGAGACGGUGCCAGUCACAUGCAGGAACCAACCCUAUGAACCAUGCCUAUGUAGAUUUUUUGUAUAGCCGUAUAUAAGAGAACUAACGGGACUGCCCCGGCAUAGCUCCUGACAGAUGUGUACUAUGGUGCAUUAAGUUUGUUGGAACCGCUCCAACUUGCUGAUAAUAAAGAAUGAUUCAUUUGAGUUUGA
Molecule: non-coding RNA, 2079 nt
Organism: Salmo salar (Atlantic salmon)
Lineage: Eukaryota; Metazoa; Chordata; Actinopteri; Salmoniformes; Salmonidae
Source: RefSeq, a predicted model, not a curated record